GCAGGCAGAAGAGGUGCAGUAGAAGGAGAAGUGAAGGAGAUUCCAAGUGUAAUAAUGACUCAAAGCACACUAGCUUAUCUGGAGAUGGAGGAAUUCAGGCCACCUUAUAUCUCUGAGAGAGGCUCUUGGUUCACAGCCUACAAGGAAGCAAAGACUUCACCUCUGAAGCCCAAAUACCUGGAUUCUGACAGCCAACCUGAAUGCGCUUGGAAGAAGAUUCUCCCUCAGAACCUCUGAAUACUAGUCCAGCUUGCCAACAACUUGAUUUCAGCCUAUAAAACCCAGGCCAGAGAAAAC
Molecule: long non-coding RNA, 297 nt
Filed under: Homo sapiens (human)
Lineage: Eukaryota; Metazoa; Chordata; Mammalia; Primates; Hominidae
Description: non-protein coding lnc-MRPL39-17:1
Source: RNAcentral